CUUUCAUGAUGUUCCAGAGAACUUAAAUCCAUAUAACCGUAGAACAUACUCGAUUUUAACUGAUAUCCAGUGUGGGCGCAUACCCACUGGCGUUUUACAAGACAUGCCGUUACAGUACGUGAAUGGAACUGUUCUUUUGUGAGGUGUUGUAAACUCCCGGUCCAACUUUAACAAAGAGAAAAGAACACUUAUAGUGGUGCUUAUAACUUCAUCAGUUGUGCCACUUUUCUUUGCAGUGGCAUAUGCCUUUAGAAAGACAAAGAAACAGUCUCACAUUAAAGCUUCUCUAAUUCGUACAGGAAACAAGCGGCUGUGAGGC
Helianthus annuus (common sunflower) is the source of this 319-nucleotide long non-coding RNA. RefSeq lists it as uncharacterized. The record is from RefSeq and is a predicted model, not a curated record. The transcript is spliced from 3 exons. NCBI's taxonomy places the organism in Eukaryota, Viridiplantae, Streptophyta, Magnoliopsida, Asterales, Asteraceae.